Molecule: ribosomal RNA, 1060 nt
Filed under: Vibrio parahaemolyticus 50
Lineage: Bacteria; Pseudomonadati; Pseudomonadota; Gammaproteobacteria; Vibrionales; Vibrionaceae
Description: bacterial SSU rRNA
Rfam family: Bacterial small subunit ribosomal RNA
Source: RNAcentral
UUUGACGUUAGCGACAGAAGAAGCACCGGCUAACUCCGUGCCAGCAGCCGCGGUAAUACGGAGGGUGCGAGCGUUAAUCGGAAUUACUGGGCGUAAAGCGCAUGCAGGUGGUUUGUUAAGUCAGAUGUGAAAGCCCGGGGCUCAACCUCGGAAUUGCAUUUGAAACUGGCAGACUAGAGUACUGUAGAGGGGGGUAGAAUUUCAGGUGUAGCGGUGAAAUGCGUAGAGAUCUGAAGGAAUACCGGUGGCGAAGGCGGCCCCCUGGACAGAUACUGACACUCAGAUGCGAAAGCGUGGGGAGCAAACAGGAUUAGAUACCCUGGUAGUCCACGCCGUAAACGAUGUCUACUUGGAGGUUGUGGCCUUGAGCCGUGGCUUUCGGAGCUAACGCGUUAAGUAGACCGCCUGGGGAGUACGGUCGCAAGAUUAAAACUCAAAUGAAUUGACGGGGGCCCGCACAAGCGGUGGAGCAUGUGGUUUAAUUCGAUGCAACGCGAAGAACCUUACCUACUCUUGACAUCCAGAGAACUUUCCAGAGAUGGAUUGGUGCCUUCGGGAACUCUGAGACAGGUGCUGCAUGGCUGUCGUCAGCUCGUGUUGUGAAAUGUUGGGUUAAGUCCCGCAACGAGCGCAACCCUUAUCCUUGUUUGCCAGCGAGUAAUGUCGGGAACUCCAGGGAGACUGCCGGUGAUAAACCGGAGGAAGGUGGGGACGACGUCAAGUCAUCAUGGCCCUUACGAGUAGGGCUACACACGUGCUACAAUGGCGCAUACAGAGGGCAGCCAACUUGCGAAAGUGAGCGAAUCCCAAAAAGUGCGUCGUAGUCCGGAUUGGAGUCUGCAACUCGACUCCAUGAAGUCGGAAUCGCUAGUAAUCGUGGAUCAGAAUGCCACGGUGAAUACGUUCCCGGGCCUUGUACACACCGCCCGUCACACCAUGGGAGUGGGCUGCAAAAGAAGUAGGUAGUUUAACCUUCGGGGGGACGCUUACCACUUUGUGGUUCAUGACUGGGGUGAAGUCGUAACAAGGUAGCGCUAGGGGAACCUGGCGCUGGAUCACC